CGGGGGGAGCAAGCGUUGUUCGGAUCUACUGGGCGUAAAGGGCGCGUAGGCGGCCACCGCAAGUCGACUGUGAAAUCUCCGGGCUUAACCCGGAAAGGUCAGCCGAUACUGCGGGGCUAGAGUGCAGAAGGGGCAACUGGAAUUCUCGGUGUAGCGGUGAAAUGCGUAGAUAUCGAGAGGAACACCUGCGGCGAAGGCGGGUUGCUGGGCUGACACUGACGCUGAGGCGCGAAAGCUAGGGGAGCGAACGGGAUUAGAUACCCCGGUAGUCCUAGCCUUAAACGAUGAAUGCUUGGUGUCUGGGGUUUUAUAGUCCCCGGGUGCCGUCGCUAACGCUUUAAGCAUUCCGCCUGGGGAGUACGGUCGCAAGACUG
RNAcentral lists this ribosomal RNA (374 nucleotides) under uncultured organism. RNAcentral describes it as "bacterial SSU rRNA". It matches the Rfam family "Bacterial small subunit ribosomal RNA", at positions 526 to 896 of the family's 1533-position model. The record is from RNAcentral.